CAAGUCGAGCGAGAAUCGUAGCAAUACGAGGACAGCGGCGAAAGGGAGAGGAAUACGUAGAUAUCUGCCCCUGAGACCGGGAUAGCGUCGGGAAACUGGCAGUAAUACCGGAUAACGUCUUUGGACCAAAGGUGUGAUUCCGCUCGGGGAUGAGUCUACGCCCUAUUAGCUAGUUGGUGGGGUAAUGGCCUACCAAGGCGAUGAUGGGUAGCGGGUGUGAGAGCAUGAUCCGCCUCACUGGGACUGAGAACUGCCCAGACACCUACGGGUGGCUGCAGUCGAGAAUCUUUGUCAAUGGACGAAAGUCUGAACAAGCGACGCCGCGUGCGGGAUGAAGGCCUUCGGGUUGUAAACCGCUGUCGUAGGGGAACAAAUGUAGAGGGGUUCUCCCCUUUAUUUGAGUGAUCCUAGGAGGAAGGAGAGGCUAAGCUCGUGCCAGCAGCCGCGGUAAGACGAGCUCUCCAAACGUUAUUCGGAAUCACUGGGCUUAAAGAGUUCGUAGGCGGCUCAGCAGGUCAGGUGUGAAAUCCCACAGCUCAACUGUGGAACUGCGCUUGAAACCGCUGGGCUUGAGGGAGACAGAGGUAAGCGGAACAGAUGGUGGAGCGGUGAAAUGCGUUGAUAUCAUCUGGAACACCGGUGGCGAAAGCGGCUUACUGGGUCUCUCCUGACGCUGAGGAACGAAAGCUAGGGUAGCAAACGGGAUUAGAUACCCCGGUAGUCCUAGCCGUAAACGAUGAGCACUAGUCUGUGGGGACCCUCACAUCCUCUCGGACGUAGCGAAAGUGUUAAGUGCUCCGCCUGGGGAGUAUGGUCGCAAGGCUGAAACUCAAAGGAAUUGACGG
Molecule: ribosomal RNA, 845 nt
Filed under: uncultured bacterium
Lineage: Bacteria
Description: bacterial SSU rRNA
Rfam family: Bacterial small subunit ribosomal RNA
Source: RNAcentral